CUGAUGCGUUGUUGGGUAGGGGAGCGUUCUGUAAGCCUGUGAAGGUGGCCUGUGAGGGUUGCUGGAGGUAUCAGAAGUGCGAAUGCUGACAUAAGUAACGAUAAAGCGGGUGAAAAGCCCGCUCGCCGGAAGACCAAGGGUUCCUGUCCAACGUUAAUCGGGGCAGGGUGAGUCGACCCCUAAGGCGAGGCCGAAAGGCGUAGUCGAUGGGAAACGGGUUAAUAUUCCCGUACUUGGUGUUACUGCGAAGGGGGGACGGAGAAGGCUAUGUUGGCCGGGCGACGGUUGUCCCGGUUUAAGCGUGUAGGUGUGUGUUCCAGGUAAAUCCGGUUCACUUUAACACUGAGGCGUGACGACGAGGCACUACGGUGCUGAAGCAACAAAUGCCCUGCUUCCAGGAAAAGCCUCUAAGCAUCAGGUAACAUCAAAUCGUACCCCAAACCGACACAGGUGGUCAGGUAGAGAAUACCAAGGCGCUUGAGAGAACUCGGGUGAAGGAACUAGGCAAAAUGGUGCCGUAACUUCGGGAGAAGGCACGCUGACACGUAGGUGAAGUGAUUUACUCAUGGAGCUGAAGUCAGUCGAAGAUACCAGCUGGCUGCAACUGUUUAUUAAAAACACAGCACUGUGCAAACACGAAAGUGGACGUAUACGGUGUGACGCCUGCCCGGUGCCGGAAGGUUAAUUGAUGGGGUCAGCGCAAGCGAAGCUCCUGAUCGAAGCCCCGGUAAACGGCGGCCGUAACUAUAACGGUCCUAAGGUAGCGAAAUUCCUUGUCGGGUAAGUUCCGACCUGCACGAAUGGCGUAAUGAUGGCCAGGCUGUCUCCACCCGAGACUCAGUGAAAUUGAACUCGCUGUGAAGAUGCAGUGUACCCGCGGCAAGACGGAAAGACCCCGUGAACCUUUACUAUAGCUUGACACUGAACAUUGAGCCUUGAUGUGUAG
This 946-nucleotide ribosomal RNA is filed under the name Salmonella enterica. RNAcentral's name for it is "partial 23S ribosomal RNA". It matches the Rfam family "Bacterial large subunit ribosomal RNA", at positions 1213 to 2141 of the family's 2925-position model. Lineage: Bacteria; Pseudomonadati; Pseudomonadota; Gammaproteobacteria; Enterobacterales; Enterobacteriaceae. The record is from RNAcentral. RNAcentral also lists the same sequence under 1 other name.